UACAGAGGGCGCGAGCGUUGUCCGGAAUCACUGGGCGUAAAGGGCUCGUAGGCGGCCAACUAAGUCAUACGUGAAAUCCCUCAGCUUAACUGGGGAACUGCGUGUGAUACUGGAUGGCUUGGAUUUGGGAGAGGGAUGCGGAAUUCCAGGUGUAGCGGUGAAAUGCGUAGAUAUCUGGAGGAACACCGGUGGCGAAGGCGGCAUCCUGGACCAAUAUUGACGCUGAGGAGCGAAAGCCAGGGGAGCAAACGGG
Molecule: ribosomal RNA, 253 nt
Filed under: uncultured bacterium
Lineage: Bacteria
Description: partial 16S ribosomal RNA
Rfam family: Bacterial small subunit ribosomal RNA
Source: RNAcentral